GCGGGCGUAGUGUAGAGGUAACAUGUUAGUCUUCCAAUCUAAAGAUGGGGGUUCGAUUCCCCCCGCCCGCU
RNAcentral lists this transfer RNA (71 nucleotides) under Pseudo-nitzschia hainanensis. Its description in RNAcentral is "Pseudo-nitzschia sp. XChen-2010a tRNA-Gly". It matches the Rfam family "tRNA". From Rfam's summary of the family: Transfer RNA (tRNA) molecules are approximately 80 nucleotides in length. Their secondary structure includes four short double-helical elements and three loops (D, anti-codon, and T loops). Further hydrogen bonds mediate the characteristic L-shaped molecular structure. tRNAs have two regions of fundamental functional importance: the anti-codon, which is responsible for specific mRNA codon recognition, and the 3' end, to which the tRNAs corresponding amino acid is attached (by aminoacyl-tRNA synthetases). tRNAs cope with the degeneracy of the genetic code in two manners: having more than one tRNA (with a specific anti-codon) for a particular amino acid; and 'wobble' base-pairing, i.e. permitting non-standard base-pairing at the 3rd anti-codon position. Lineage: Eukaryota; Bacillariophyta; Bacillariophyceae; Bacillariales; Bacillariaceae. The record is from RNAcentral.